UGGAAUGAGGAAACCAAUCACUCAAGUUCAUCUCAAACCCACCAUAGUUGUUGUUGAGUAUAGUGAUAAGAGAUAUCAACUAAGAUGAGUGGUGGGAAGGGUUGGGUCUUUUUGGCUUUCUUGCUCUUCUUUUUCCUCUUCUCCUCGGAGCUGGCUGCUGCCCGGAAGCUGAUGGUGGCCGGAAACAAUGCAGCGGUCAUACAUGAAGGCCGCACCACUUUCGUCACCCCCCGCACACGAAACCCCAACAAACCCGUUUGCGAUCGCCCAGGUCGUUAUGGUGAUUGCUUCCCACGGCCAACCCCACCCGGAGUCUGCAAUCCUUAUUCACGAAAUUGCCCUCCGCAGAACUGAAGUGGACAUUAAGAUCAAACACCAUGGAAACUAAAUAAACUAACCCACACCUACCUGGGUUUUGAUUACUAUCUAUCUUAUGUGUAUUGAAUCCUAUUUAUAUGGUUAUAAGUUUGGGAGAUUUGUGUUUUAUCUCGAGGUUGCAUGAGUAUAAUUGGAGUAAGAUACGUGAUUAAGUGUUCACAAGCUA
Molecule: long non-coding RNA, 544 nt
Organism: Cucurbita moschata (crookneck pumpkin)
Lineage: Eukaryota; Viridiplantae; Streptophyta; Magnoliopsida; Cucurbitales; Cucurbitaceae
Exons: 2
Source: RefSeq, a predicted model, not a curated record